RNAcentral lists this ribosomal RNA (390 nucleotides) under uncultured bacterium. RNAcentral's name for it is "bacterial SSU rRNA". It matches the Rfam family "Bacterial small subunit ribosomal RNA", at positions 28 to 419 of the family's 1533-position model. The record is from RNAcentral.
GACGAACGCUGGCGGCGUGCUUAACACAUGCAAGUCGAGCGGUAAGGCCCUUUCGGGGGUACACGAGCGGCGAACGGGUGAGUAACACGUGGGUGACCUGCCCUCAGCUCUGGGAUAAGCCUGGGAAACCGGGUCUAAUACUGGAUAUGACUCCAUGACGCAUGUUGUGGGGUGGAAAGCCUUGUGCGGCUGAGGAUGGGCCCGCGGCCUAUCAGCUUGUUGGUGGGGNGAUGGCCUACCAAGGCGACGACGGGUAGCCGUCCUGAGAGGGCGACCGGCCACACUGGGACUGAGACACGGCCCAGACUCCUACGGGAGGCAGCAGUGGGGAAUCUUGCGCAAUGGGCGAAAGCCUGACGCAGCGACGCCGCGUGAGGGAUGACGGCCUGG